UACAGAGGUGGCAAGCGUUGUUCGGAAUUACUGGGCGUAAAGGGCGCGUAGGUGGCCUUCUUAGUCAGACGUGAAAUCCCCGGGCUUAACCCGGGAACUGCGUCCGAUACUGGUUGGCUUGAAUUCGGGAGAGGGAUGCGGAAUUCCAGGUGUAGCGGUGAAAUGCGUAGAUAUCUGGAGGAACACCGGUGGCGAAGGCGGCAUCCUGGACCGGCAUUGACGCUGAGGCGCGAAAGCCAGGGGAGCAAACGGG
This 253-nucleotide ribosomal RNA is filed under the name uncultured bacterium. RNAcentral describes it as "partial 16S ribosomal RNA". It matches the Rfam family "Bacterial small subunit ribosomal RNA", at positions 524 to 776 of the family's 1533-position model. The record is from RNAcentral.